AGAGUUGAUCAUGGCUCAGGACGAACGCUGGCGGCGUGCCUAACACAUGCAAGUCGAACGGGGAUUUGUUUCGGCAGAAUCCUAGUGGCGAACGGGUGAGUAACGCGUAGGCAACCUGCCCUCCGGCCGGGGACAACACUCCGAAAGGGGUGCUAAUACCGGAUACGAAGUCUGUGCCGCAUGGUACGGAUUUGAAAGAUGGCCUCUAUUUAUAAGCUAUCGCCGGGGGAUGGGCCUGCGUCCGAUUAGCUGGUUGGUGGGGUAACGGCCUACCAAGGCGACGAUCGGUAGCCGGUCUGAGAGGAUGAACGGCCACAUUGGGACUGAGACACGGCCCAGACUCCUACGGGAGGCAGCAGUGGGGAAUCUUCCGCAAUGGGCGCAAGCCUGACGGAGCAACGCCGCGUGAGUGAGGAAGUUCUUCGGAACGUAAAGCUCUGUUGUUCCUGACGAACCUCCCUUCUAUCAACAACGGAGGGGACUGACGGUAGGGAACGAGGAAGCCACGGCUAACUACGUGCCAGCCGCCGC
This 531-nucleotide ribosomal RNA is filed under the name uncultured bacterium. RNAcentral's name for it is "bacterial SSU rRNA". It matches the Rfam family "Bacterial small subunit ribosomal RNA", at positions 8 to 518 of the family's 1533-position model. The record is from RNAcentral.